Molecule: ribosomal RNA, 493 nt
Filed under: uncultured bacterium
Lineage: Bacteria
Description: partial 16S ribosomal RNA
Rfam family: Bacterial small subunit ribosomal RNA
Source: RNAcentral
GACGAACGCUGGCGGCGUGCUUAACACAUGCAAGUCGAUCGGUGAAGCACCUUCCUUUUGGUGGGUGUGGAUGAGUGGCGAACGGGUGAGUAACACGUGAGUAACCUGCCCCCUUCUUCUGGAUAACCGCAUGAAAGUGUGGCUAAUACGGGAUAUUCUGGGUCUGUCGCAUGGCGGGCCUGGGAAAGCUAUUGUUUCGGUGGGGGAUGGGCUCGCGGUCUAUCAGCUUGUUGGUGGGGUGAUGGCCUACCAAGGCGGUGACGGGUAGCCGGCCUGGGAGGGUGGACGGUCACACUGGGACGGCGCCACGGCCCAGCCUCCUACGGGAGGCAGCAGUGGGGAAUAUUGCACAAUGGGCGCAAGCCUGAUGCAGCGACGCCGCGUGAGGGAUGGAGGCCUGCGGGUUGUAAACCUCUUUCGCCAGUGAAGCAGGCCUGUCCCUUUUGUGGGUGGGUUGACGGUAGCUGGAUAAGAAGCGCCGGCUAACUACGUG